GAGUUUGAUCCUGGCUCAGAUUGAACGCUGGCGGCAGGCCUAACACAUGCAAGUCGAGCGGAUGAAGGGAGCUUGCUCCUGGAUUCAGCGGCGGACGGGUGAGUAAUGCCUAGGAAUCUGCCUGGUAGUGGGGGAUAACGUCCGGAAACGGGCGCUAAUACCGCAUACGUCCUGAGGGAGAAAGUGGGGGAUCUUCGGACCUCACGCUAUCAGAUGAGCCUAGGUCGGAUUAGCUAGUUGGUGGGGUAAAGGCCUACCAAGGCGACGAUCCGUAACUGGUCUGAGAGGAUGAUCAGUCACACUGGAACUGAGACACGGUCCAGACUCCUACGGGAGGCAGCAGUGGGGAAUAUUGGACAAUGGGCGAAAGCCUGAUCCAGCCAUGCCGCGUGUGUGAAGAAGGUCUUCGGAUUGUAAAGCACUUUAAGUUGGGAGGAAGGGCAGUAGUUAAUACCUUGCUGUUUUGACGUUUACCAACAGAAUAAGCACCGGCUAACUUCGUGCCAGCAGCCGCGGUAACG
RNAcentral lists this ribosomal RNA (521 nucleotides) under uncultured microorganism. Its description in RNAcentral is "bacterial SSU rRNA". It matches the Rfam family "Bacterial small subunit ribosomal RNA", at positions 9 to 525 of the family's 1533-position model. The record is from RNAcentral.